Molecule: long non-coding RNA, 275 nt
Organism: Pollicipes pollicipes
Lineage: Eukaryota; Metazoa; Arthropoda; Thecostraca; Pollicipedomorpha; Pollicipedidae
Exons: 3
Source: RefSeq, a predicted model, not a curated record
CGCCUGCUCGGCCCGGCCAGCAAGCGCAGCGACCGGGCGUCGCUCGGCCCGCCCAGCAGCAGGGCUCCACCCGCUGACGACGACUUGUCGGACUCUGAUUCCGAGGCAGCGCAGUUGAGCCCGGAGUACAUCAAAAUGGUGGGUGAGGCGCACCAGCUGGUGGUCGGUGUCAGCCUGCGACUCAACAACGUCUGCCUGGAGACAAGUCAGACGUCGCGCCAGUGGGCGGUCACGCAGCAGCAGCGGCGCGACAGUCGCCGCCGGUACUGGGAGGA